UGGGGAAUUUUGCGCAAUGGGGGCAACCCUGACGCAGCAACGCCGCGUGAGUGAUGAAGGCUUUCGGGUCGUAAAGCUCUGUCGAGAGGGAAGAAAUGUUUUGUGGUUAAUACCCAUGAUACUUGACGGUACCUCUGAAGGAAGCACCGGCUAACUCCGUGCCAGCAGCCGCGGUAAUACGGAGGGUGCAAGCGUUGUUCGGAUUUAUUGGGCGUAAAGCGCGUGUAGGCGGUUUGUUAAGUCUGAUGUGAAAGCCCCGGGCUCAACCUGGGAAGUGCAUUGGAAACUGGCAGACUUGAAUACGGGAGAGGGUAGUGGAAUUCCUAGUGUAGGAGUGAAAUCCGUAGAUAUUAGGAGGAACACCGGUGGCGAAGGCGGCUACCUGGACCGAUAUUGACGCUGAGACGCGAAAGCGUGGGGAGCAAACAG
This 429-nucleotide ribosomal RNA is filed under the name uncultured bacterium. RNAcentral's name for it is "bacterial SSU rRNA". It matches the Rfam family "Bacterial small subunit ribosomal RNA", at positions 355 to 775 of the family's 1533-position model. The record is from RNAcentral.